CAUGUGGUUUAAUUCGAUGCAACGCGAAGAACCUUACCAGGUCUUGACAUCCCACGAAUUCAUCUGAAAGGAUGGAGUGCCUUCGGGAGCGUGGAGACAGGUGGUGCAUGGUUGUCGUCAGCUCGUGUCGUGAGAUGUUGGGUUAAGUCCCGCAACGAGCGCAACCCUUGCUAUUAGUUGCUAACAGGUAGAGCUGAGCACUCUAAUGGGACUGCCGGUGACAAGCCGGAGGAAGGUGGGGAUGACGUCAAAUCAUCAUGCCCUUUAUGACCUGGGCUACACACGUGCUACAAUGGAUGGUACAGAGAGCAGCGAGGCAGCGAUGUGGAGCGAAUCUCAAAAAGCCAUUCUCAGUUCGGAUUGGAGUCUGCAACUCGACUCCAUGAAGUCGGAAUCGCUAGUAAUCGCGAAUCAGUAUGUCGCGGUGAAUGCGUUCCCGGGCCUU
Molecule: ribosomal RNA, 445 nt
Filed under: uncultured Syntrophomonas sp.
Lineage: Bacteria; Bacillati; Bacillota; Clostridia; Eubacteriales; Syntrophomonadaceae
Description: bacterial SSU rRNA
Rfam family: Bacterial small subunit ribosomal RNA
Source: RNAcentral